GACGAACGCUGGCGGCGGGCUUAACACAUGCAAGUCGAACGGAAAGGCCCUGCUUUUGUGGGGUGCUCGAGUGGCGAACGGGUGAGUAACACGUGAGUAACCUGCCCUUGACUUUGGGAUAACUGCAGGAAACUGGGGCUAAUACCGGAUAGGAGCUCCUGCUGCAUGGUGGGGGUUGGAAAGUUUCGGCGGAUGGGGAUGGACUCGCGGCUUAUCAGCUUGUUGGUGGGGUAGUGGCUUACCAAGGGUUUGACGGGUAGCCGGCCUGAGAGGGUGACCGGGCACAAUGGGACUGAGAGACGGACCAGACGGCUACGGGAGGCAGCAGUGGGGAAUAUUGCACAAUGGGCGGAAGCCUGAUGCAGCAGCGCCGCGUGCGGGAUGAAGGCCUUCGGGGUGUAAACCGCUUUCGCCUGUGACGAAGCGGGAGUGACGGUAAUGGGUAAAGAAGCACCGGCUAACUACGUG
This 468-nucleotide ribosomal RNA is filed under the name uncultured bacterium. RNAcentral describes it as "partial 16S ribosomal RNA". It matches the Rfam family "Bacterial small subunit ribosomal RNA", at positions 28 to 507 of the family's 1533-position model. The record is from RNAcentral.